GGGUCUGCAACCCGACCCCAUGAAGCCGGAAUCGCUAGUAAUCGCGGGUCAGCCAUACCGCGGUGAAUACGUUCUCAAGCUUUGUACUCAC
This 91-nucleotide ribosomal RNA is filed under the name Candidatus Kaiserbacteria bacterium RIFCSPHIGHO2_02_FULL_54_11b. Its description in RNAcentral is "partial 16S ribosomal RNA". It matches the Rfam family "Bacterial small subunit ribosomal RNA", at positions 1301 to 1390 of the family's 1533-position model. Lineage: Bacteria; Candidatus Kaiseribacteriota. The record is from RNAcentral.